This 2283-nucleotide ribosomal RNA is filed under the name Staphylococcus saccharolyticus. RNAcentral's name for it is "bacterial LSU rRNA". It matches the Rfam family "Bacterial large subunit ribosomal RNA", at positions 1 to 2282 of the family's 2925-position model. The record is from RNAcentral. Lineage: Bacteria; Bacillati; Bacillota; Bacilli; Caryophanales; Staphylococcaceae.
AGAUUAAGUUAUUAAGGGCGCACGGUGGAUGCCUUGGCACUAGAAGCCGAAGAAGGACGUUACUAACGACGAUAUGCUUUGGGUAGCUGUAAGUAAGCGUUGAUCCAGAGAUUUCCGAAUGGGGGAACCCAACAUGAGUGAUGUCAUGUUAUCGACAUGUGAAUUCAUAGCAUGUCAGAAGGCAGACCCGGAGAACUGAAACAUCUUAGUACCCGGAGGAAGAGAAAGAAAAAUCGAUUCCCUGAGUAGCGGCGAGCGAAACGGGAAGAGCCCAAACCAACAAGCUUGCUUGUUGGGGUUGUAGGACACUCUAUACGGAGUUACAAAAGAACAUGUUAGACGAAUCAUCUGGAAAGAUGAAUCAAAGAAGGUAAAAAUCCUGUAGUCGAAAACAUAUUCUCUCUUGAGUGGAUCCUGAGUACGACGGAGCACGUGAAAUUCCGUCGGAAUCUAGGAGGACCAUCUCCUAAGGCUAAAUACUCUCUAGUGACCGAUAGUGAACCAGUACCGUGAGGGAAAGGUGAAAAGUACCCCGGAAGGGGAGUGAAAGAGAACUUGAAACCGUGUGCUUACAAGUAGUCAGAGCCCGUUAAUGGGUGAUGGCGUGCCUUUUGUAGAAUGAACCGGCGAGUUACGAUCUGAUGCAAGGUUAAGCAGCGAAUGUGGAGCCGUAGCGAAAGCGAGUCUGAAUAGGGCGUUGAGUAUUUGGUCGUAGACCCGAAACCAGGUGAUCUACCCUUGGUCAGGUUGAAGUUCAGGUAACACUGAAUGGAGGACCGAACCGACUUACGUUGAAAAGUGAGCGGAUGAACUGAGGGUAGCGGAGAAAUUCCAAUCGAACUUGGAGAUAGCUGGUUCUCUCCGAAAUAGCUUUAGGGCUAGCCUCAAGUGAUGAUUAUUGGAGGUAGAGCACUGUUUGGACGAGGGGCCCCUCUCGGGUUACCGAAUUCAGACAAACUCCGAAUGCCAAUCAAUUUAACUUGGGAGUCAGAACAUGGGUGAUAAGGUCCGUGUUCGAAAGGGAAACAGCCCAGACCACCAGCUAAGGUCCCAAAAUAUAUGUUAAGUGGAAAAGGAUGUGGCGUUGCCCAGACAACUAGGAUGUUGGCUUAGAAGCAGCCAUCAUUUAAAGAGUGCGUAAUAGCUCACUAGUCGAGUGACACUGCGCCGAAAAUGUACCGGGGCUAAACAUAUUACCGAAGCUGUGGAUUGUCCGUAGGACAAUGGUAGGAGAGCGUUCUAAGGGCGUUGAAGCAUGAUCGCAAGGACAUGUGGAGCGCUUAGAAGUGAGAAUGCCGGUGUGAGUAGCGAAAGACGGGUGAGAAUCCCGUCCACCGAUUGACUAAGGUUUCCAGAGGAAGGCUCGUCCGCUCUGGGUUAGUCGGGUCCUAAGCUGAGGCCGACAGGCGUAGGCGAUGGAUAACAGGUUGAUAUUCCUGUACCACCUAGUAUCGUUUUAAUCGAUGGGGGGACGCAGUAGGAUAGGCGAAGCGUGCUGUUGGAGUGCACGUCCAAGCAGUAAGGCUGAGUGUUAGGCAAAUCCGGCACUCGUAAGGCUGAGCUGUGAUGGGGAGAGGAAAUUGUUUCCUCGAGUCGUUGAUUUCACACUGCCGAGAAAAGCCUCUAGAUAGAUAACAGGUGCCCGUACCGCAAACCGACACAGGUAGUCAAGAUGAGAAUUCUAAGGUGAGCGAGCGAACUCUCGUUAAGGAACUCGGCAAAAUGACCCCGUAACUUCGGGAGAAGGGGUGCUCUUUAGGGUUCACGCCCAGAAGAGCCGCAGUGAAUAGGCCCAAGCGACUGUUUAUCAAAAACACAGGUCUCUGCUAAACCGUAAGGUGAUGUAUAGGGGCUGACGCCUGCCCGGUGCUGGAAGGUUAAGAGGAGUGGUUAGCUUCUGCGAAGCUACGAAUCGAAGCCCCAGUAAACGGCGGCCGUAACUAUAACGGUCCUAAGGUAGCGAAAUUCCUUGUCGGGUAAGUUCCGACCCGCACGAAAGGCGUAACGAUUUGGGCACUGUCUCAACGAGAGACUCGGUGAAAUCAUAGUACCUGUGAAGAUGCAGGUUACCCGCGACAGGACGGAAAGACCCCGUGGAGCUUUACUGUAGCCUGAUAUUGAAAUUCGGCACAGCUUGUACAGGAUAGGUAGGAGCCAUUGAAACGUGAGCGCUAGCUUACGUGGAGGCGUUGGUGGGAUACUACCCUAGCUGUGUUGGCUUUCUAACCCGCACCACUUAUCGUGGUGGGAGACAGUGUCAGGCGGGCAGUUUGACUGGGGCGG